Long non-coding RNA from Rosa rugosa (rugosa rose), 295 nucleotides. RefSeq lists it as uncharacterized. NCBI's taxonomy places the organism in Eukaryota, Viridiplantae, Streptophyta, Magnoliopsida, Rosales, Rosaceae. The record is from RefSeq and is a predicted model, not a curated record. The transcript is spliced from 3 exons.
CUUAGUUAUCAUCAUAAAAACAAUUAUUAUAACCAUGGUUGUCAAGGGAUUUGGAUACAACAACAAAACAUCAUUCCUAGUUUGAAUAUCUCUAGCACAGAUAGGCGAAUUUGCUUUUGUUCUUUUAAGUCGUGCCUCUAAUCUCCAUCUAGUCGAGGGGAAAUUAUAUCUGCUGCUGCUUGGAACCACAACACUUAGUCUGGUAGGAUAUAAUCUUCAUUCUGUGGUCUGUGUAUGUACCCGACCUGCCUUGAACAUUUUCUAACUUCAACAUUUCCUGAAAUUCUUUUGCAGG